Molecule: ribosomal RNA, 389 nt
Filed under: uncultured bacterium
Lineage: Bacteria
Description: bacterial SSU rRNA
Rfam family: Bacterial small subunit ribosomal RNA
Source: RNAcentral
GGACGAACGCUGGCGGCGUGCUUAACACAUGCAAGUCGAGCGGUAAGGCCCUUUCGGGGGUACACGAGCGGCGAACGGGUGAGUAACACGUGGGUGACCUGCCCUCAGCUCUGGGAUAAGCCUGGGAAACCGGGUCUAAUACCGGAUAUGACUCCAUGACGCAUGUUGUGGGGUGGAAAGCCUUGUGCGGCUGAGGAUGGGCCCGCGGCCUAUCAGCUUGUUGGUGGGGUGANGGCCUACCAAGGCGACGACGGGUAGCCGGCCUGAGAGGGCGACCGGCCACACUGGGACUGAGACACGGCCCAGACUCCUACGGGAGGCAGCAGUGGGGAAUCUUGCGCAAUGGGCGAAAGCCUGACGCAGCGACGCCGCGUGAGGGAUGACGGCCU